This 85-nucleotide non-coding RNA is filed under the name Penicillium rubens Wisconsin 54-1255. The record is from RNAcentral. Lineage: Eukaryota; Fungi; Ascomycota; Eurotiomycetes; Eurotiales; Aspergillaceae.
CCUUGGCGGCGUGCAGCACCUCUCCGUGGUGCCAGGGACCAGUACUCGAUGAUCAUACGUCGAUAUCGAGGAAGCUAAGACAGAA